This 688-nucleotide long non-coding RNA is filed under the name Suricata suricatta (meerkat). RNAcentral's name for it is "lncRNA (ENSSSUG00005011220.1)". The record is from RNAcentral. Lineage: Eukaryota; Metazoa; Chordata; Mammalia; Carnivora; Herpestidae.
GGGAAGCCCGGUGCACGCCGGGAGAUGGAGUUCUCCUGGCAGGACCUAUCGCCUGCCCCUGCGCCCCUUCUCAGGCGAGUGUCCUGGGAGCGAACGCCGAGGACGAGGGUCGUGCGGCCGGGCCGGGGUGCCUGCGCAGCCGGCCGGAGUCGGCAAGAAGCUGGGGAGCGCCGGGGAGAAUGCAUGCAGGGAGGGAAGCCAGACAGCUCUGGCCGCCGCACCGCUUACCCUUGGCCUUGGGGGAGGAGUUGGUCUGACACAAAGAGCACACGCUGCAGUCACCCUUCCGUGAGCUGCCGCAGGGGCCACUCUUUCGGGUUUCAGUGCCAGGAGGAGCCUGGCGGCCACUGAUAGGUGCGGCCGUCCCAGUUUCCAGGGGAUGGUGGCGUCUUCCUGACCGAGGAGGGGUGUGAGGCUGCGGUCCGGGGCCUGCAGGGAAGCUGCACCAGGAGGAGCCCCACGGCCCGGGGACAGUGCCGGCGGCCACCGUGGGAAACCGAAGCCGAGCCGCGGGCCAGCUGCCCGGCCUGCUGCUGCUUUUGCGUCCCAGGGUGUGCCCUUGAGCCGUCUCCGAGGGCCAAGGUCCUCAGCUUGUGGCGUUUCGUCAGGCCGGCCGGCGCCGGGCCACGCGCUGCAGAGCACGGGCAGGGAGAGGCCUGCGGUGGCCACACCGACCCCCUGCGAGCCC